This 93-nucleotide transfer RNA is filed under the name Escherichia coli. RNAcentral describes it as "tRNA-Lys". The stretch from base 27 to 82 matches the Rfam family "tRNA", at positions 10 to 63 of the family's 71-position model. Rfam says of the family: Transfer RNA (tRNA) molecules are approximately 80 nucleotides in length. Their secondary structure includes four short double-helical elements and three loops (D, anti-codon, and T loops). Lineage: Bacteria; Pseudomonadati; Pseudomonadota; Gammaproteobacteria; Enterobacterales; Enterobacteriaceae. The record is from RNAcentral.
GGUUCGAUCCCGUCAUCACCCACCACGCUCAGUUGGUAGAGCAGUUGACUUUUAAUCAAUUGGUCGCAGGUUCGAAUCCUGCACGACCCACCA